GGCCUCGUAGCUCAGCUGGUGGAGCGUGCGCGUACAAAGCGUAGGCGGCGUCCAUGCGUGGGUUCGAAUCCCACCGAGGUUA
This 82-nucleotide transfer RNA is filed under the name Echinostoma caproni. It matches the Rfam family "tRNA". From Rfam's summary of the family: Transfer RNA (tRNA) molecules are approximately 80 nucleotides in length. Their secondary structure includes four short double-helical elements and three loops (D, anti-codon, and T loops). Further hydrogen bonds mediate the characteristic L-shaped molecular structure. tRNAs have two regions of fundamental functional importance: the anti-codon, which is responsible for specific mRNA codon recognition, and the 3' end, to which the tRNAs corresponding amino acid is attached (by aminoacyl-tRNA synthetases). tRNAs cope with the degeneracy of the genetic code in two manners: having more than one tRNA (with a specific anti-codon) for a particular amino acid; and 'wobble' base-pairing, i.e. permitting non-standard base-pairing at the 3rd anti-codon position. Lineage: Eukaryota; Metazoa; Platyhelminthes; Trematoda; Plagiorchiida; Echinostomatidae. The record is from Rfam by way of RNAcentral.